This 43-nucleotide ribosomal RNA is filed under the name Pyricularia oryzae. RNAcentral's name for it is "partial 28S ribosomal RNA". The record is from RNAcentral. Lineage: Eukaryota; Fungi; Ascomycota; Sordariomycetes; Magnaporthales; Pyriculariaceae.
AAUACCCGCUGAACUUAAGCAUAUCAAUAAGCCGGAGGAAAAA